GGAAUGAAACUCAAAGGAAUUGACCGGGGACCCGCACAAGCGGUGGAGCAUGUGGUUUAAUUCGAAGCAACGCGAAGAACUUUACCCGGCCUUGACAUCCCUCCGGCGCGCCCGCAACGGGGCGUUCCCCUCGGGGCGGAGGAGACAGGUGGUGCAUGGUUGUCGUCAGCUCGUGUCGUGAGAUGUUGGGUUAAGUCCCGCAACGAGCGCAACCCCCAUUCCCAGUAGCCAGCGAGAGAGACGGGCACUCUGGGGAGACUGCCGGGGACAACCCGGAGGAAGGCGGGGACGACGUCAAAUCAUCAUGCCCCUUAUGGCCGGGGCUACACACGUGCUACAAUGGCGCGGACAAAGGGAAGCGAAGCGGCGACGCGGAGCGAAUCCCAGAAAAAGCGCCCCAGUUCGGAUUGCAGCCUGCAACUCGGCUGCAUGAAGCCGGAAUCGCUAGUAAUCGCGGAUCAGAACGCCGCGGUGAAUACGUUCCCGGGUCUUGUACACACCGCCCGUCACACCAUGGGAGCAGGUAACGCCCGAAGUCGGCGACCCAACCGGAAGGAGGGAGCCGCCGAAGGCGGGACCCGUGACUGGGGUGAAGUCGUAACAAGGUAACCGU
Molecule: ribosomal RNA, 613 nt
Filed under: uncultured bacterium
Lineage: Bacteria
Description: bacterial SSU rRNA
Rfam family: Bacterial small subunit ribosomal RNA
Source: RNAcentral